GACGAACGCUGGCGGCGUGCUUAACACAUGCAAGUCGAACGGAAGGGCCCUGCUUUUGUGGGGUGCUCGAGUGGCGAACGGGUGAGUAACACGUGAGUAACCUGCCCUUGACUUUGGGAUAACUUCAGGAAACUGGGGCUAAUACCGGAUAGGAGCUCCUGCUGCAUGGUGGGGGUUGGAAAGUUUCGGCAGUUGGGGAUGGACUCGCGGCUUAUCAGCUUGUUGGUGGGGUAGUGGCUUACCAAGGCUUUGACGGGUAGCCGGCCUGAGAGGGUGACCGGCCACAUUGGGACUGAGAUACGGCCCAGACUCCUACGGGAGGCAGCAGUGGGGAAUAUUGCACAAUGGGCGGAAGCCUGAUGCAGCAACGCCGCGUGCGGGAUGACGGCCUUCGGGUUGUAAACCGCUUUCGCCUGUGACGAAGCGUGAGUGACGGUAAUGGGUAAAGAAGCACCGGCUAACUACGUG
This 468-nucleotide ribosomal RNA is filed under the name uncultured bacterium. RNAcentral describes it as "partial 16S ribosomal RNA". It matches the Rfam family "Bacterial small subunit ribosomal RNA", at positions 28 to 507 of the family's 1533-position model. The record is from RNAcentral.